RNAcentral lists this ribosomal RNA (253 nucleotides) under uncultured bacterium. RNAcentral's name for it is "partial 16S ribosomal RNA". It matches the Rfam family "Bacterial small subunit ribosomal RNA", at positions 524 to 776 of the family's 1533-position model. The record is from RNAcentral.
UACGUAGGUGGCAAGCGUUGUCCGGAUUUACUGGGCGUAAAGAGCGCGCAGGCGGUCGUUCAAGUCGAGUGUGAAAGCCCCCGGCUCAACUGGGGAGGGUCACUCGAUACUGAUCGACUCGAAGGCAGAAGAGGGAAGCGGAAUUCCCGGUGUAGUGGUGAAAUGCGUAGAUAUCGAGAGGAACACCUGCGGCGAAGGCGGGUUGCUGGGCUGAUACUGACGCUGAGGCGCGAAAGCCAGGGGAGCGAACGGG